This 254-nucleotide ribosomal RNA is filed under the name uncultured bacterium. RNAcentral describes it as "partial 16S ribosomal RNA". It matches the Rfam family "Bacterial small subunit ribosomal RNA", at positions 524 to 776 of the family's 1533-position model. The record is from RNAcentral.
UACAGAGGUCCCAAGCGUUGUUCGGAUUCACUGGGCGUAAAGGGUGCGCAGGUGGGCUGGCAAGUUCGAUGUGAAAGCCCCGGGCUUAACCCGGGAAUGGCAUUGAAAACUGUCGGUCUGGAGGGUUGGAGGGGGGACUGGAAUUCUUGGUGUAGCGGUGAAAUGCGCAGAUAUCAGGAAGAACACCAAUGGCGAAAGCAGCUUUCUGGGACGGUACUGACGCUGAGAACGCGAAAGCGUGGGGAGCGAACAGG